CGAAUUCGCCCUUCCUACGGGAGGCAGCAGUGGGGAAUAUUGGACAAUGGGGGAAACCCUGAUCCAGCGACGCCGCGUGUGUGAAGAAGGCCUGCGGGUUGUAAAGCACUUUUAGUGGGGAUGAAAAGCUCAGGGCUAAUACCCCUGGGUCUUGACCUAACCCACAGAAAAAGCACCGGCUAACUCUGUGCUAGCAGCCGCGGUAAUACAGAGGGUGCAAGCGUUAAUCGGAAUUACUGGGCGUAAAGCGUGCGUAGACGGUCAUGUAAGUCGGGUGUGAAAGCCCCGGGCUCAACCUGGGAAUUGCAUUCGAGACUGCAUGGCUAGGGUGCGGAAGAGGGAAGCGGA
RNAcentral lists this ribosomal RNA (348 nucleotides) under uncultured Gammaproteobacteria bacterium. RNAcentral's name for it is "bacterial SSU rRNA". It matches the Rfam family "Bacterial small subunit ribosomal RNA", at positions 325 to 665 of the family's 1533-position model. Lineage: Bacteria; Pseudomonadati; Pseudomonadota; Gammaproteobacteria. The record is from RNAcentral.